This 253-nucleotide ribosomal RNA is filed under the name uncultured bacterium. Its description in RNAcentral is "partial 16S ribosomal RNA". It matches the Rfam family "Bacterial small subunit ribosomal RNA", at positions 524 to 776 of the family's 1533-position model. The record is from RNAcentral.
UACGAAGGGGGCUAGCGUUGCUCGGAAUGACUGGGCGUAAAGGGCGCGUAGGCGGCUUGUACAGUCAGAUGUGAAAUUCCUGGGCUCAACCUGGGGGCUGCAUUUGAUACGUAUGGGCUUGAGUGGGGAAGAGGGUCGUGGAAUUCCCAGUGUAGAGGUGAAAUUCUUAGAUAUUGGGAAGAACACCGGUGGCGAAGGCGGCGACCUGGUCCUUGACUGACGCUGAGGCGCGAAAGCGUGGGGAGCAAACAGG